RNAcentral lists this ribosomal RNA (497 nucleotides) under Bacillus sp. sec3. Its description in RNAcentral is "bacterial SSU rRNA". It matches the Rfam family "Bacterial small subunit ribosomal RNA", at positions 372 to 859 of the family's 1533-position model. Lineage: Bacteria; Bacillati; Bacillota; Bacilli; Caryophanales; Bacillaceae. The record is from RNAcentral.
UGGACGAAAGUCUGACGGAGCAACGCCGCGUGAGUGAUGAAGGUUUUCGGAUCGUAAAGCUCUGUUGUUAGGGAAGAACAAGUGCCGUUCAAAUAGGGCGGCACCUUGACGGUACCUAACCAGAAAGCCACGGCUAACUACGUGCCAGCAGCCGCGGUAAUACGUAGGUGGCAAGCGUUGUCCGGAAUUAUUGGGCGUAAAGGGCUCGCAGGCGGUUUCUUAAGUCUGAUGUGAAAGCCCCCGGCUCAACCGGGGAGGGUCAUUGGAAACUGGGGAACUUGAGUGCAGAAGAGGAGAGUGGAAUUCCACGUGUAGCGGUGAAAUGCGUAGAGAUGUGGAGGAACACCAGUGGCGAAGGCGACUCUCUGGUCUGUAACUGACGCUGAGGAGCGAAAGCGUGGGGAGCGAACAGGAUUAGAUACCCUGGUAGUCCACGCCGUAAACGAUGAGUGCUAAGUGUUAGGGGGUUUCCGCCCCUUAGUGCUGCAGCUAACGCA